Molecule: ribosomal RNA, 590 nt
Filed under: uncultured bacterium
Lineage: Bacteria
Description: bacterial SSU rRNA
Rfam family: Bacterial small subunit ribosomal RNA
Source: RNAcentral
CCUACGGGAGGCAGCAGUAGGGAAUAUUGGUCAAUGGGCGAAAGCCUGAACCAGCAACGCCGCGUGCGCGAUGAAGGCCUUCGGGUCGUAAAGCGCUUUUGGGAGGGAUGAAAAUGACAGUACCUCCCGAAUAAGGAUCGGCUAACUACGUGCCAGCAGCCGCGGUAAGACGUAGGAUCCAAGCGUUAUCCGGAAUUACUGGGCGUAAAGGGCGUGUAGGAGGUUGGGCAAGUCGGCCAUGAAAGCUCCCGGCUCAACUGGGAGAGGCUGGUCGAUACUGCCUGGCUAGAGGGCAAGAGAGGGAGGUGGAAUUCCCGGUGUAGUGGUGAAAUGCGUAGAUAUCGGGAGGAACACCAGUGGCGAAGGCGGCCUCCUGGCUUGUACCUGACUCUGAAACGCGAAAGCAUGGGUAGCAAACAGGAUUAGAAACCCUGGUAGUCCAUGCCAUAAACGAUGUCAACUGGGUGUCGGCGAAGUAAAUUGUCGGUGCCGAAGCUAACGCGUUAAGUUGACCGCCUGGAGACGACGAUCGCGAGAGUAAACUACGAAGAAGUAGACGCGUGAGAGUUGCGAGACGACGACGAGGAGAG